Molecule: long non-coding RNA, 3385 nt
Filed under: Homo sapiens (human)
Lineage: Eukaryota; Metazoa; Chordata; Mammalia; Primates; Hominidae
Description: GARS1 divergent transcript
Source: RNAcentral
GGCGAAGAAGACGCCAGAGGAUGAAGGGAAAGAAAGGGGUAACCGAAGAGGAGGACAGUUCCCCGGGGAGGAGGGAAGGAUGACCAGAAGAAGGCCCUGGGAGGAGAGCCGGAGGCUUAGCGGAGAGCGCAAAACACCGGUACCUGCUGGCGCACUGCUAGCCUCAGAGGUGCCAGCACCUCCUCAGCCCCCGCGCCGUCCAUGCUGCUCCGGGAGGCGGCGGCGGGCAAGGAGAUCGGGGGGCAGGAGGCCGCGCUGAGGGACCGGCGGAGCAGGAGCGAGGGUCGGGCUAAGAGCCGGGGCGGCAGCAGCAGCAGCAGAGCGGCGCGAGCACCUCUAAGCAGCACUGGACGCGGAGAGGGCAUGAGCCUGCGGCCCUGGGCUGUCCAGAGAGGGUGGCGACGGAAGCGGCGCGCGCCGCCCGGCUCGGAGCAUGAUGAAAUCGCCGCGUAAACGACGCGGCGCGCGUGCUGCCGCACAUUCACCACCGCGUGACGCGGCGCCGGGUCGCCGCCGCAGAUUCGACACAAAACCCGGAAGGACCCCGCCGAAGGUUUUCUCCGGUUCGGGAGAGAGACGGAGUCCCGCUCUGUCACGCAGGCUGCCAGGCUGGCGUACAGUGGCGCAAUCUCAGCUCGCUGCAACCUCCACCUCCUGGGUUCAAGCGAUUUUCUUGCCUCUGCCUCCUGAGUAGCUGGGAUUACUGGCACACACCACCAUGCACAGUUCCUUGUUCAAAAUGCCAAGAACCUGGAUGACUCAUAGUCAAGACCCUCCACCAGUAACAUAUAUUGGCGAGCCAGCCAGGAGCUUGGAACCCUCGGUGGACAGUGCCUAAGCACAGAGGCAACCACAGGUUUCUAACAGGGCCACUCUCUGGUGAAACUGAAAGGUUUCUGUGUGAAAGUGCCUGACCACCACUGCCCAAUUCAGUUGCAGGAAUUUAGCCAAUUCAGAGGUCUUGUUCUCCAUAAUUUGGAAUUUUCCUUCGGAUUUGAUCAAGUUGGAUAGAGUUGGUCAAACCCAAUGGGAAAAAGAUGAAAACAACAAGAAACAGAAACAAACAGCAACAACAACAACAACAAAAACAGUUAAGUGAAACAAACAAACAAUCACACAAUUUAUGUGGUCACUGAGUGCUCUAAUAGUAAGGAGAAAUUAAGACCAGCUGGCUGUUAGUCUUAACUCUAGCCAAGACAAAACUCCAAUUCAGCUACUUACCUAGUAAUGAGUCUCAGGCUGAAGUCUGCUCUCUCCCAUCCUAGAAGCAGGAAAAAACUGAAACUCAUCUUCCCUGCUGGAAACGAGCUCAAACUCCAGAAAGGAGUUACCUGCCUUCCAUCAUCAUGGACGCAGGAAAAUUUGCCUUCCUUGUUGGAAGCAAGUAAAACUCCAAAAAAGGAGUUGCACAGCAAAAUAAACUUCAGAUCUCAACAAAUUUGGGGAGAUCAGGGAUUCUCUGGGGGUGGGGUGGCUCCCAGGCCUCAGCCAAUUGUCCUAUUGGUUUCAGCCAUAAAGACAGCUCAGGCUGCUACCACGCACUGAUAGGAGAUUUGUCAAAGAUCGAGGCAUCUUCACUCAGAAUCCCUCUGUGAUUACCAAUUGUGAACACAAAAUAUCUGAUAUGGGUCUCAGUCAAUUUAGAAAGUUUAUUUUGCCAAGGUUAAGGACACAUCCAUGACAUAGCCUCAGGAGGUUCUGUUGACGUGUGCAAGGUGGUUGGGGCACAGCUUGGUUUUACACAUUUUAGGGAGACAUGAGAUAUCAAUCAAUAUAUGUUAAGACAUAUAUCAGGUGGUCCAAAAAGGUGGGAUGACUGGAAACAGGGAGGGGGCUUCCAGGUGAUAGGUAGAUAAGAGAAAAACAGUUGCAUUCUUUUGAGUUUCUAAUAAGCCUUUCACUGAAUACACAAUUUACAGGACUAAUCACUUAAGCCUUAGCCUGGCUCAGUGAAACAACAGGGCAAAGGAAGCAAUCAGCUAUGCAUUUGUCUCACGUGAGCAGAGGGAUGACUUUGAGUUCUGUCUAGCUAUCUUGUUUAGGAAUAUAAUGAGAGGCAGGUUUGCGUGCAGUUUCCAGAUUGACUUUUCCCUUUGGCUUAGUGACUUUGAGGUCCCAAGAUUUAUUUUCCUUUAACAUUUACAAGGAGAAGUGAAGAAAUAAGUAAAUUAGAGAGCUAGAAGGAUGGAAGUUUACAGUUAGAGAGAGUGGGAUGUUGAAGGUAAUACUGGUUGCAUAUUUCUUAUCCAAAAUGCUUGGGACCAGAAGUGUUUCAGAUUUCAGAUGUUUUCAGAUUUUGGAAUAUUUGCAUUAUACAGGUUCAGCACCCCUAAUCUGAAAACGUGAAAUCCAAAAUUCUCCAAUGAUUGUUUCCUUUGAGCAUCACAAUGGUGCUCAAAAGGUUUUGGAUUUUAGAGCAUUUCAAAUUUCAGAUUUUCAGAUUAGGGAUAAUAAACCUAUAUCUCAGAAACGGUACAUUUCUGAAUAAUGACAAAUUGUCAUUAUUUGCCAUGAGAAUUGUCAUUAAUGUGGGUGGAGAUGGGGAUGAUUGUAGGUCAAGAGACUGAAGCAAUAGGGUAGGCUUGGGUGUUAGUACGGCCCUUCAUGGGAAUGUGUUGAUGUCAUCCAGGGUCACGGGAGGCUUCUGAGUGGGAAGGAAGCUGAGAGCCUAUGAUUACGGUCUUCACUGAUGAAGGCAGACAGUAGGAGGUUGGCAGAUGGUGGGCACUGACUAGACUGGAAGUGCCAAGAACUUCAGUGGAGCAAGGUUUUACCCAAGACACAGAGGUUGUGGUCUAGAGCAGCCCAGGGAUGAAGGAUCACCCAUUGGAGAGGACUGUGGGGAAAGCAGAGUCCUGGGAGAUGAACCAAGCAUCAGUUGAGGCUGGAACAGUUAAAAUGUAUACAUCAAAUUCUCUCCAAGGACACUGUACCCUUGGCUGAAAAUUCCCUCCUUAGUCUACUUCCCAUCCCAAAUUCUACCCAUCCACACUGUGGCAUCCUAGGUCUCUCUAGCAGCUGAACAGGCAGGCCUCUGUAACAACUGUUUCAGCGCUGACUGAGUGGUUAAGUUAAAUAUUAAAAGUUGAAAGAGCCAGUAACCUUAUACAAAGGCUGGAAUAGAACAAAAGCCCACCACAAGUUUUUGCCUAAGUCUUUCCUGUGCCUUGAACCAUGACAAGAGGAGGAAGGAAUUCUUAACCAGACCCAUUUAGGAUUAAGUAAGUUUUUAUUGGCUGGGUACGGUGGCUCACACCUAUAAUCUCAGCACUUUGGGAGGCUGAGGCAGGCAGAUCACCUGAGGUCAGGAGUUUGAGACCAGCCUCCUGGCCAACAUGGUGAAACUCUGUCUCUACUAAAAGUACCAAAAUGAGCCAAGCAUGGU